RNAcentral lists this transfer RNA (73 nucleotides) under Candidatus Poribacteria bacterium. Its description in RNAcentral is "tRNA-Thr". It matches the Rfam family "tRNA". From Rfam's summary of the family: Transfer RNA (tRNA) molecules are approximately 80 nucleotides in length. Their secondary structure includes four short double-helical elements and three loops (D, anti-codon, and T loops). The record is from RNAcentral. Lineage: Bacteria; Candidatus Poribacteria.
GCUGGCGUAGCUCAGUUGGUAGAGCGAGUGAUUUGUAAUCACUUAGUCGGGGGUUCAAGUCCUCUCGCCAGCU